Long non-coding RNA from Micropterus dolomieu (smallmouth bass), 630 nucleotides. RefSeq lists it as uncharacterized. The record is from RefSeq and is a predicted model, not a curated record. NCBI's taxonomy places the organism in Eukaryota, Metazoa, Chordata, Actinopteri, Centrarchiformes, Centrarchidae. The transcript is spliced from 3 exons.
UACGCUGCUGUAGAGGAUGAAAACUGUGAAAACCGGAGAAACCUGGAGAAAAUACAGCUAAAAACGAACUAUACUGAGGCUAACUUCAACACUACAAACGUGGUAGCUAACUGCUGUAAGAAUUUAGUUGUAAGUUCAGUGUUUAGAUAUAGCGCUUGAGACGACUACUAGCAGCGUCGGUAGCUUUGAUGUCCGUAGGAUUUCCCGCGACGCGCAGUCUUUGCUGAUUCAAGAGCGAGAAGACCUUGUGGCUUUACUGGGUGCCGCCAUUUUUGGGUGUGUGUCCAGCCGCUCUGGUGAAAUCGGUCAGGUUUUUUUUGUGUGUGUGUGUGUUUCUUUUCCCAUUGUCUGGAUUGGAUCUGCGGAUGAAAAUUGAUGGCGAGCCGUCCCUCUUGAAUGAUUGUGGAAGCCAUUCCCUCUUCAGGAUCACUGGACCUGUCCCGCUACUACUGCACUUUGCGGUGUGGUAGGCCCCACUACAACACAAAACCCCUUCACUCACCUUCACACUCCUUCCCCCACACACAUACAUACACCAACCCUAUGGAACUCUGAACUCUGACUUACCUUCGACACAUCCAUUUUUUUGUUUGGACUUUGGACUCACUUAAACAAACUCACCUGUUCACA